This 152-nucleotide long non-coding RNA is filed under the name Struthio camelus australis. RNAcentral describes it as "lncRNA (ENSSCUG00000007105.1)". Lineage: Eukaryota; Metazoa; Chordata; Aves; Struthioniformes; Struthionidae. The record is from RNAcentral.
AUGGAGGGAAGUUGGUAUUCUGAAGGCAGAGGGGACUGUACGUACAGGAAUGUAAGAUUUAAAGGAAAAGAAAAACAAACCCAAACAAGACAAGUCUUCAUGUGGUCCUGGCUCGGCUUUUAUUCACAACAAUGGAGGUGCAAGUGAGCAGU